RNAcentral lists this ribosomal RNA (956 nucleotides) under Uronema gigas. RNAcentral's name for it is "eukaryotic LSU rRNA". It matches the Rfam family "Eukaryotic large subunit ribosomal RNA", at positions 1 to 990 of the family's 3401-position model. Lineage: Eukaryota; Viridiplantae; Chlorophyta; Chlorophyceae; Chaetophorales; Uronemataceae. The record is from RNAcentral.
UCGACCUGAGCUCAGGCAAGAUUACCCGCUGAACUUAAGCAUAUCAAUAAGCGGAGGAAAAGAAACUAACAAGGAUUCCCCUAGUAACGGCGAGCGAACCGGGAAUAGCCCAGCUUGAAAAUCUCCCUUGGAGAAUUGUAGUCUGUAGAAGCGCCCUCUGCGGCGGCCGGGCUCUAAGUUCCCUGGAAGGGGGCGUCAGAGAGGGUGAGAACCCCGUCGAGCCUUGGCUUAGCCGCCUCACGAGGUGCUUUCAAAGAGUCGGGUUGCUUGGGAAUGCAGCCCAAAGCAGGUGGUAAAUCCCAUCUAAGGCUAAAUACUGGCGAGAGACCGAUAGCGAACAAGUACCGCGAGGGAAAGAUGAAAAGAACUUUGAAAAGAGAGUUAAAAAGUGCUUGAAAUUGUUGAGGGGGAAGCGAUUGGCAGCUGCGUGUGCGCCCAGGCUUACGCCGUCCUAACGGGCGGCUGCAUGUGCUGGGCGCUGGUCAGCAUGGGUUGGCUUGGCAGGAUAACCGCGGGGGUUGUUACCUCGUCUAUGCUGCCGGGCCGACUGAGGUGUGAAGGCCGCUUUGUCCUUCGGGAUCUGCGGCCUCAAGAUGCUGGCGGAAGGCUUUCAAUCGGCCCGUCUUGAAACACGGACCAAGGAGUCUAACAUGUAUGCGAGCUGGUGGGUGGAAAACCCAUGAGGCGCAAGAAACCUGACUGGUGGGAUGGCGUAAGCSUGCACCAUCGACCGACCAUGAUCUUCUGUGAAAGGUUCGAGUACGAGCAUACCUGUUGGGACCCGAAAGAUGGUGAACUAUGCCUGAGCAGGGCGAAGCCAGAGGAAACUYUGGUGGAGGCUCGUAGAUGUGCUGACGUGCAAAUCGCUUUUCGGACUUGGGUAUAGGGGCGAAAGACUAAUCGAACCAUCUAGUAGCUGGUUCCCUCCGAAGUUUCCCCCAGGNUAGCUGGAGCUU